GAUGAACGCUAGCUACAGGCUUAACACAUGCAAGUCGAGGGGAAACGACAUCGAAAGCUUGCUUUUGAUGGGCGUCGACCGGCGCACGGGUGAGUAACGCGUAUCCAACCUGCCCACCACUUGGGGAUAACCUUGCGAAAGUAAGACUAAUACCCAAUGAUAUCUCUAGAAGACAUCUGAAAGAGAUUAAAGAUUUAUCGGUGAUGGAUGGGGAUGCGUCUGAUUAGCUUGUUGGCGGGGUAACGGCACACCAAGGCUACGAUCAGUAGGGGUUCUGAGAGGAAGGUCCCCCACAUUGGAACUGAGACACGGUCCAAACUCCUACGGGAGGCAGCAGUGAGGAAUAUUGGUCAAUGGGCGAGAGCCUGAACCAGCCAAGUAGCGUGCAGGAUGACGGCCCUAUGGGUUGUAAACUGCUUUUAUAAGGGAAUAAAGUGAGUCUCGUGAGACUUUUUGCAUGUACCUUAUGAAUAAGGACCGGCUAAUUCCGUGCCAGCAGCCGCCGUAA
This 508-nucleotide ribosomal RNA is filed under the name uncultured bacterium. RNAcentral's name for it is "partial 16S ribosomal RNA". It matches the Rfam family "Bacterial small subunit ribosomal RNA", at positions 28 to 523 of the family's 1533-position model. The record is from RNAcentral.